RNAcentral lists this long non-coding RNA (4789 nucleotides) under Ovis aries (sheep). RNAcentral's name for it is "lncRNA (ENSOARG00000025644.1)". Lineage: Eukaryota; Metazoa; Chordata; Mammalia; Artiodactyla; Bovidae. The record is from RNAcentral.
UGCCGCAUCUACUACGAGAAUGAAGACCAUUCUCAGCAAUCAGACUCUGGGAAAACUAUCUUCCUAUGAGGAGGGAAAGACAUGCACAAAGAGUGUGUUUUCAGGCCUCUAUCUUGAAGAAACUGUUUCGCUUCUAAGAUGAGAGACCUCCAGGCAUACUCCAAAGGUCUAAAUUCCAAUCAGGGCCGUGUGUCUCCCUGCACUAUCCAAGCCUUGUAAACAUAUUCCUAGGUCAGCGCAUUCCUGCCCAUGAGGAAGCAGGCUGCGGGAGUGUGUCUGAGGGGGCCCGGUGCCCCGCUUGGGGUCACAUGGUCAAGGGCACCUUGCACCACCAAUGGGCCCCAGGCAAGGAGUGGGGGGCUGCCCUCUUGCUUCAGAAAUGCCAAUUAGGGAGCAAAGCUAGCUCUGUCAGAAGGAAGAAAACAGCCACGGGAUGGAUUUUCAAGCAGUUUUGGGGCUGUACCGUGUUCGUGCUCCCCAGGAGAAAAACACAAAUUUUGGCCCCUAGGCCCGAUAUCCAGGUGGGUGCACAGGGUGUUCCCCGCAGGAUCCAAGAACAUUCCAGAUAGACUUAAGCUCACUAGCUCUCACCUGCAGUGGAACCGUGAUGGAACAGCCAUUUGGAGGUUGCUUUGACUUUCCCUGGGAGUAUGGGAGCCCUUCCUGGGCUCAGGACCUCAGGUACAUUGCCACUGAAAAAUGACUUCCAAGCAAGCACUGGCAAGCCGUGUGCGACUCUCCUCACACAGAGGUCUGGAAAAGUUAUCUUCCUUGGAGCAAGGAAAGGCAGACCCAGAGAGUGUGUUUUCAGGCCUCCAUCUUGCAGCAAGCAUUUGGCUUCUCGGACGUCGGACCUCCAGGUCUCCUCUGAGGACCUCAAAUCCGGAGUCACGGCCGUGUGUUUCCCUGCACUUUCUGAGCCUUGCAAACAUAUUCCUAGGAUAGGGCAGUCCUGCCCAAGGGGAUGCAGGCUGCUGGAGUGUCUGAGGGUGCCGGUGCCAUGCUGGAGUCACCUGGUCGAGGGCACCUUGCACCUCCAAUAGGCCCCAGGCAAGGAGUGGUGGGCUGCCCCCUGGCUUCAGAAAUCCAUGGAGGGGAGCAAAGCUCGCUCUGUCACAAGGAAGAAAACACCAAAGGGAUGCACUUCAAGCAGUUGCUGGGUCGCCUUGUGUUCAGGCUCCUCGGAAGAAAAAUUUGGCCCCUAGACCCAGUAUCCACGUGAGCGCACAGGGUAUUUCCCCUGCAGGAUCUGAGAACAUUCCAGACAGACCCAGGUUCACGAGCUCUCUCCUGCAGAGGAAAGGUGACGGAAUAGCCAUUUGGACCUUGCUUUAACUUUCCCUGGGACAGUGGGAGCCCUCCCUGGGCACAGGGCCUCAGGGGCCAUUGCCACUGAAAAAUGACCUCCAAGCCAGCACUUUGAGCUGUGUGUGACUCUCAGCCCUCAGGAGGCUGGGAAAGAUAUCUUCCUUGGAGGAAGGAAAGGCAGCCACAGAGAGUGUGUUUUCAGGCCUCUAAUGUUUCACUUCUCAGAUGUCAGACCUCCAGGCCUGCUCCAAGGGCCUCAAUCCUAGGUCAGAGCAGUCCUGCCCAUGAGGAAGCAGGCUGCAGGAGCGUGUCUGGGGGAGCUGGGUGCCAUACUGUGGUCACCUGGUCGAGGGCACCUUGCACCUCCAAUGGGCCCCAGGAGAGGAGUGGCGGGCUGCCCCCUUGCUUCAGAAAUUCCAAAGCGGGGAGCAAAGCUCACUCUGUCAGAAGGAAGAAAACAGCAACGGGAUGCAUUUUGAAGCAGUUACUGGGCCGCCCUGUGUUCAGGCUCCUCGGAAGAAAACUGCGAAUUUUGGCCUCUAGUCCCAGUAUCCAGUUGGGCGCACAGGGUCUUUUCCCCACAGGAUCUGAGAAACACACUCUCUGUGGAUGCCUUUCCUUCCUUUAGGAAGAUAACUUUUCCAGCCUCCGCUCAGAAAAUGCAGGGAGACACACGGCCCUGACUCUGGAGUUGAGGCCCUCUGAGCAGGACUGGAGGUCUGACGUCUGAGAAGCCAAACACUUGCUGCCAGGUAGAGGCCUGAAAACACACUCUCUGUGGAUGCCUUUCCUUCCUUUAGGAAGAUAACUUUUCCAGCCUCCUGCAUGCGGAGAGUCGCACGUGGCUUGCCAGUGCUUGCUUGGAAGUCAUUUUUCAGUGGCAAUGGUCCUGAGGUCCUGAGCCCAGGGUGGGCUCCCACACCCCCGGGGAAAGUCAAAGCAACCUCCAAAUGGCUAUUCCAUCACGUUUCCUCUGCAGGAGAGAGCUAGUGAGCAUAGGUCUGUCUGGAACGUUCUCGGAUCCUGUGGGGACACACCCUGUUCUUCCACCUGGAUACCGGACCUAGGGGGCAAAAUUCACAUUGUUCUCUUGGAUGGCCCUAAAGCAGUGUGGCCUAGAAACUGCUUGAAAGUCCAUUAAAUCGAUCUUUUCUUACUUCUGACAGCAAGACUUUUCGUGCAGCCUUUGGGGUUUCUCAAGCAUGUAGACUGCCUGCAACUGCUUGCCAUUGGCCCAUUUACAGUUGAAUGUCACCUCUUCUGGGUAACCACAGUAUGGCAAGCAGCACUCUCAGACUCACUCCCAGAGACUGUUUCCUCCUGGGCAGUCCAGGUACAUAGGAAUGUACUACAAGGCUCAGAAAAUGCAGUGAAAUACAGUGCCCUGACUCUGGAAGUUAGGUCCUCUGGACAAACCUGGAAGAAUUACAAUCUUAGAUGUUAGACAGUUCUUAAUAGAUAAAGGCAUGAUAAGGCAUGUUCCUUGAUGCCUUACUUUUCUCUCAGUAGCAUACCUUUCCCAGAAUUCUGUGCGUUGAUAGUCACACACUGCUUCAAAACGCUUGCAUGGAGGUCGUUUUUCAGUAGCAAUCCCCCUGACUGUGUGACCAUUGGGAAAGCCCCCACACUCACAGGGAAAGCAAAACCAACAUUGAACCAUCUAAUCCAUCAUGUUUUCUCUCUAGGACUGAUCCAGUGAGCCUAGAUGUUUUUGGAAAAAUUUUGUGUACUGAGGGGACACAUCCUGAAUCUGAAGUUGGAUACCGUACCUUGGUGGCAAAAUUCAGAUUUUUCUCUUGGUUGGCCUUUAAUAGGUGAGAACUAGCAACUGCCUGAAAGAGCUGUUUUCUUCCUUUUGAGAGCAAGAACUUUGGGCCACUCUUUGGGACUUCUGAAUCAAGCAGGCGGCUCGCAACUCCUAGCCAAUGGCCCAUUUACAGUUGAAUGUCGCGUCUUCUGGGUAAGCACAGCAUGGCAACCGACACUAUCCCACACACUCCCACAGCCUGUUUCCUCGUGGGCAGUCCCGGCAUGCCAUAGGAAUGUGUUUACAAGGCUCAGAAAGUGCAGGGAAACACACUGCUUGACUUUGGAAUUUAGGUUCUUUGGGCUAUCCUGGAGGACUCACAUCUUAGAAUUCAGACAGUUCUUGAUAGACAGAGGCCUGAAAGCACACUCUCUGUGGAUACCUUACCUUUCUUUAAGGAACAUAGCUUUCAAAGCGUCAUGUGUGGGGAGAGUCACACACCGCUUGAAAACUCUUGCUUUGAGGUCAAUUUUCAGUAGCAAUUUCCCCUGAUGGGGUGGCCGUAGGGAAGGCCCCCACAAUCACAGGGUAAGUAAACGAACAUCUAAACGUCUGUUCCAUCAAGUUUUCCUUGUAGGAGACAUCCUGUGUGACUAGGGCUGUCUGGAAAAUACUUGGAUACGUAGAGACACAGCCUGAGUGUGGUUUGUUAACGGACCUUGUUGGCAAGAUUCAUAUUUUUCUGCUGGUCCUAAAAUAGGCUUCCCUUGUGGCUCAGCUGGUAAAGAAUGUGCCAGCAAUGUGGAUGACCUUGGUGUGAUUCCUCUGUUUGGAAGAUCCACUGGAGAAGGAAAGGGUAUCCACUCAAAUAUUUUGGCCUGGCGAAUUUAAUGGACUGUAUAUUCCAUGGGGUCGUAAAGAGUCAGACCCGACUGAGUGACUUGCACAGCAAUAGCCCUAAAAUGAUGUGGCCUCACAACUGCUUGAAAAUCUAUCCAAUAGCUGUUUCUUCUGACACCGAGAGUUUUGGGCCACCCUUUGGAAUUUCGAAAGCAAGUAGGCUACUCGCAAUUACCAGCCGCUGGCCUAUGUACAGUUGAAUGUCACUUCACAGUAUGGCAACCAGCACUCCCAGACACACUUCUGCAACCUGUUUCCUCAUGGGCAGUUCUGGUACACCAUAGGAAUGUGUUAAUGAGGCUCAGAAAGUGCGAGAAACAAACUGCCCUCUGACUCUUGAAGUUAGAUCCACUGGGCAAACAUGGAGGUCUCACAUUAUAGCAUCUAGAAAGUUCCUGAUAGAUAGAGACCUGAAAACACACUCUCUGUUGAUGCGUACCUUCCUCGAAGGAGCAUACCUUUCCCAGCGUGCUGUGUGUUGAGAGUCACACACUGCUUGGAACUGUUGAUGCCUACCUUCCUUGAAGGAGCAUACCUUUCCCAGCAUGCUGUGUGUUGAGAGUCACACACUGCUUGGAAUGCCUACUUGGAGGUUAUUUUUCAGUAGCAAUUUCCCCUCAUGAUUUGACUGUUGGGAAGGCCCCCACACUCAGAAGGAAGGCAAAACCAACAUGCAGACAUUUAUUCUAUCAAGUUUUCUGUAUAGGAGAGAUCUUGUGUGCCUAAGUAUAUUUGCAAAAUUAUCGGAUAAUGUGAGGAACACCUUGAAUGUGAAGUUGGAUACCUGACCUUGGUCAAACUUUGCAGUUUUGUCUUGGGACUCCCUAAAAUGGU